GCACUGUGAGAACAGACUAAUACACCGGUGUUCUAGUAAGAGGAGAGUACACAGAGAAACUCACGUAGAGGAAGGCCAUGUGAAAAUGGUAGCAGAGACUGGAAUCAUGCUACCACAAACCAAGGAAUGCCCGGGAACACCAAAAGCUGGAAGAGGCAAGGAACACCAAGGAUUUCAAGCAACCACCAGACGCUAGGAGAAAUUGGAUGAUAAAAUUCAGGCCAAGAGAAGCAAAGACAGCAAAGACUGACAUAAAAAAGAAACAACAAAAACAACUCUUGUUAAUGAUGUAGAAUUAAUCUGAAUUCUCCAAAAACCUGCCUCUUUUGGAGAUAGUGGUCUUGCAUUCCCUGAUGCUGAGAGACUGAGUCUAUAUAUUGAAGACUUCAUUUCACCAGCAGGUGCAAAUGUUCUACAUUUCAAAGCCAUCUGUGUUUUUUAAGUGAUUGAGGCCAAGAGUAAUCCAUAUUUAGUUGUUUUGACCAUUUAAACUAAGGUUUAUGUUAUUCUUUGACUUUAUCAAUGUACUAAUGUACAUAUUUUAUAUGCUGUACCAUGUAUAUCUGUGAAUAAAAAAAAAUACAUGUCACUGUCGUUCAAUUGUUUUUCUUUCAUUACUGCCCCCACCCAAAGGAAAUUUUUAGAUUUUUUUGAUUACUAUCACUGCUAGGUGACUUUUUAGGAUUUGGUUUUAUUAAAUACUAACACAUUUCAUUAAAUUUUAGUACCACAGAGAUGCUGUAUAUCUAUUUAUGUACUGUGGUCAUUUUGGAACAACAAAUUAUUAUCUAUCAUUUUUCCACUCCCCCAAAAGAAUCAAUGUUUACCCCCUUGUGGAUAAAUUAGAGGUUAAAAUAUCAU
Molecule: long non-coding RNA, 861 nt
Filed under: Homo sapiens (human)
Lineage: Eukaryota; Metazoa; Chordata; Mammalia; Primates; Hominidae
Description: HSALNT0110170
Source: RNAcentral